Molecule: long non-coding RNA, 1034 nt
Filed under: Ananas comosus (pineapple)
Lineage: Eukaryota; Viridiplantae; Streptophyta; Magnoliopsida; Poales; Bromeliaceae
Description: long non-coding RNA (ACOM_LNC040764)
Source: RNAcentral
UUUAAAUUAUUUUAAAUUAAAAUUUAAUAAAAAUAUUAAUUUAUGCAAAAUAAAAAAAUGUUUGCCAAACAGCUUUUCAAAAUCACUUCAGAAAAAUCGUUUUUAUCUAAACUCAGCCAAACGCUCUACAGCUUUUCACCAAAAUCAUUUCUCCAAACCAAAAUCACUUUUUCAGAAAUCACUUUUUCAGAAAUCACUUUUUCAAACAGGCCCUUAUGCAUAUGGAGUAGUGUUCUAUUGUUUUUUCUUUUAUUAUUAUUAUGUGUAAUUUAUUUGCUAAUAUUAUAAAUUUUGUGUAUCUAUUUCAUAUCUUAUAUUUGUAUUUAUUGAUUUUUCACGACAAGUCAAAAAAUUUUAAAACUUUUUAUUUUGUCAAAUUUUUAUCUUUUAUAGCAUCAGUCUGCCGCAAGGUGUGUGUAACUUCACUAGUUGAGUAGGACUUUUUUAUAAAACAACCCUCUAGAAUUUUAAAAUUUGCAAAAUAACUAUUCCAAAAUUAUAUUUGUAAAACUAACCCCCCUUUCACCACGUAGGUGUAGGAGUGGAUUUUUUUUAUGAAGGCGGUGAACGGACGAUUCACCGACUUACUAAUAAUAUAAUUAGCAAAGACGAUGAAUGGUUUACCGUCCUAUUUAAUAUUUUUUUUAUAUCUCAUAUAUAAUCUUAACAAUCACAUAAAAAUUACAAUAAAUCACAUAUAAUCUUAACAAUCUGAAAGUCCUAAUAAUCUAUUCAUACAAUUCUAGCAUAAAAAUUACAACAGAUCACAUAUAAUCUUAAUAACCUCAAAAUCCUAAUAAUCUAUUUAUAUAAUUCUAACAAUCAAAAAAAAAUUUCAAUAAUCUACGCAUGCUAAAACCUCACUUUUUUCUAUUUUCCAUCUACAACUUCACUUUUUUUCUAUUUCCCAUAUAAUCCACGUAUAAUUCUAACCAUCUCAUUUUUACCUAUUUUUUAUCUAACAACCUCACUUUUUUCUAUUUUUCAUAUAAUCUACGUACAAGAAAAUGUGCGGUUGUUAGAUGGAAAAUAAG